GAUGAAGAACGUAGUAAAAUGCGAUACUUGGUGUGAAUUGCAGAAUCCCGUGAACCAUCGAGUUUUUGAACGCAAGUUGCGCCCGAAGCCUUUUGGCCGAGGGCACGUCUGCCUGGGCGUCACGCAUCGCGUCGCCCCCCACAAUUCUCCGUAAAGGGAACAUGUGUUUUGGGGGCGGAUAUUGGUCUCCCGUGCUCAUGGCGUGGUUGGCCGAAAUAGGAGUCCUUUCGAUGGACGCACGAACUAGUGGUGGUCGUAAAAACCCUCGUCUUUUGUUUCGUGCUGUUGGUCGCAAGGUAAACUCUUUAAAAACCCCAAUGUGUCGUCUCUUGACGACGCUUCGACCGCGACCCCAGGUCAGGCGGGACUACCCGCUGAGUUUAAGCAUAUCAAUAAGCGGAGGA
Molecule: unclassified non-coding RNA, 404 nt
Filed under: soil metagenome
Description: partial contains 5.8S ribosomal RNA, internal transcribed spacer 2, and large subunit ribosomal RNA
Rfam family: 5.8S ribosomal RNA (bases 1-122)
Source: RNAcentral